Molecule: ribosomal RNA, 368 nt
Filed under: uncultured prokaryote
Description: bacterial SSU rRNA
Rfam family: Bacterial small subunit ribosomal RNA
Source: RNAcentral
UACGGAGGAUCCAAGCGUUAUCCGGAAUCAUUGGGUUUAAAGGGUCCGUAGGCGGGUUUAUAAGUCAGUGGUGAAAGCCCAUCGCUCAACGAUGGAACGGCCAUUGAUACUGUAGAUCUUGAAUUAUUAGGAAGUAACUAGAAUAUGUAGUGUAGCGGUGAAAUGCUUAGAGAUUACAUGGAAUACCAAUUGCGAAGGCAGGUUACUACUAAUGGAUUGACGCUGAUGGACGAAAGCGUGGGUAGCGAACAGGAUUAGAUACCCUGGUAGUCCACGCCGUAAACGAUGGAUACUAGCUGUUCGGAGCAAUCUGAGUGGCUAAGCGAAAGUGAUAAGUAUCCCACCUGGGGAGUACGUUCGCAAGAAUG